This 500-nucleotide unclassified non-coding RNA is filed under the name Hevea brasiliensis (rubber tree). Lineage: Eukaryota; Viridiplantae; Streptophyta; Magnoliopsida; Malpighiales; Euphorbiaceae. The record is from RNAcentral.
UCAGUUCGAAACAUUGAAUCAGGUGUUGAUUCCAAACUGAUAAAAACUUGCAAAAGUGGUUCCAUUGAAGACUUGAAUUUCACUGGGCUGUCGUCCAUAAAUAUUAACCAACCAAUAGUGUAAUAAAAUGUUGUUCUACUACGAGAGCAUCUAUACUCUUCUAGAAAAGGAAAGUGCUCCCUAGUAUGGUUAGCGACUAUAAAUUUAAUAGCAUCCAACUUCAGAAGCAACUUCCCAGUCAUAUAGCCAGAUGCCAACUCCAAAAACAAAUUUAAUGUGUGAUCAAUGACUUCCUCACUCUGUGUAUAACACUUAAGAUUAGUAGCAAUCUUCCUGACAAUCACAUUUAAUAAUACCAGAUGAUCGUGUAGUCCAAGAAGCUCAGACAAUCGAGCAUAUAACUGCUUGGAUGAGUGCACAGCUGAUCACCCACAUAAGACUUUCGGAAAUGCUGAAAGAAGGUGAGAAUUGCUCGAUCAAGUCUUUGCUUACUCAGUUCG